CACGGUUCGAUGAUGUCGAAUUGUAGCGCAUUCUGUUAUUCCUCCCGAUAAGGCGGUCGCUCUCCGUAUCGAGAACAAACUCGCCAGCAUUUCCGCCGCUCAUCGUUUCGCGAACUUGACGGAAGUAAAAACUUUCUUCAACUAUAGUCGGAAUGUCAAGCGGCCAUAAUCACUUUGAAGGAGUUUUCAAAAAUGUCCAAGCCGACU
RNAcentral lists this unclassified non-coding RNA (207 nucleotides) under Hevea brasiliensis (rubber tree). Lineage: Eukaryota; Viridiplantae; Streptophyta; Magnoliopsida; Malpighiales; Euphorbiaceae. The record is from RNAcentral.